Eubalaena glacialis (North Atlantic right whale) is the source of this 2760-nucleotide long non-coding RNA. RefSeq lists it as uncharacterized. The record is from RefSeq and is a predicted model, not a curated record. The transcript has 12 exons. Lineage: Eukaryota; Metazoa; Chordata; Mammalia; Artiodactyla; Balaenidae.
CCCAGCUGCCCGGGCCCGGGGCGCUCAGCAGACGUGGUUGUACUCUUCCCGCCUUGCUUUUCUUUUCUUGGUUUCAGUCCCUGGUUUUGCAAGCAAUUCCUCGUUCCCGCUCCCACCGUAUCUGGUAUGUAGAAGAGAGAGACAAAGAAACGCGGAGGCUCAGGAAGGUUGGUUGCCCACCUCUUCUUUCCACCACAGAAUUCUGCCUCUAGAAAAGCAGGGGGAAGAGUAGCCACGCAAAGGAUCUAGGCACAUAAUCGAAAUAGUGUGGCAAUCCCUACAGCAGAAUGUAAAUCCCUUGGAGGUGACCCGAGUCUUCCUCAUCCAAGUUUACUCCUCGCCCACACAGAGCACGUGAUAAGGAGCCUCAGUUCCAUAGGCUGCCUGGCAGACUGGCUGAAUGAAGACAUCAAUCGGAAACCUUUCCCAAGGAACUCCUAUUCUUGAAAGCAGACACAUUUACCUGCCACUGCCCCAGGACUGAAUCACACGCUGUCACAGAGCAUCUUGUAUUUUUGAAAGAGUUCUUCUCUUGGCCAGGCCGUGACAUGCACAACCUUGGAGGUACCACAAUGCUCUACCUUAUCCUGGGUACAGAAAAGAUGCAUAACAGAUGAAAAGAUUUACUUGAAACCUCCCGGGGAGCAGCUGUGGUUCAGGGAGUUUCUGCUUCAUGCUUUUGAUCCUGGGACCCUCUGAGAAUGAGCUGGAAGCUGCUGUGACUCCCUCCCCAGUAUCUUAAGCCAGUAGCCUGCCCCCUGGCAGCAUGGGGCCAGCACCAAGGAGAAUGGAUCCCUGGCACUCACUUAUCCAGACUCUGUCCUGAAUGUCUAGCGUCCACCCAUCGUAUGAUCUGCUUCCCUGCCUGUUCCUGACCUCAUCAGCUCCUGACCCCCAGACUGGCAACUCCCCAAGAGCAGGGACGCUCUUUUCCCCAGCACCUGGGGCAGUCCCACCACAUAGUGGUGCUCAGGAAAUAGUGGUUGAGGGGAUGGACGGAUGAACUGGAGUCAUAAAGGCCUGGGGCUGGCCACAAGAAAGGGAAUUGUUUUUCCUAGAACCUACCUUUCCUAAGACAGACACUGUGGAUACCAACGAUGUGGCAAAUGACAGGACUGAGACAAGGGGUGAAAUUCCAGGAAGAAGACGACCUGAAAAGUUGGCAUGAUGCUAUAGCUUUAUAUGUGAGAUGGUUUUGGAGGAAAACACUGGACCCUGUAAUUAUUUCCACAAAGUAUAUAGCACAGGAUAACACACUCAUAGAUGAUUUUAGAUCUAAAUCUCUUCCACUUGCUUUUAUGAAACAGAAGCCUCUCACCUGGGUGAAUGGGAAGACCUACUGAGCUGUUUUGGAAGAGAAAGGCCAGAACUACAUUAAAUCAUGCAGAAAGCGACCAGUGGGCCCUGUAAUGUUCAAGUCAUCAAUACGGCCAUCGACCCCCAGGAGACUUAUGGAGGGUCCUGGUCCUCAGGCUCAGAAUGCCCUGAGAUAUUGAUACAAAUGGCCAGAGAGAGAUCAUUGGCCCAAGGUCACACAGUAAGGGGUUGAUGCUGGUAUUUUCAUCCCGUCUAUCUGAUGACAAAGUUAUCCCCCGACAGCACUGGGGCAUUACCGAAAGAACAGAAUCUGUCAGGACAAAUACGUGAGCUGCCAUUUGGAGCUUUGGGGAGAAGGGAGCCACAUCAGCCAGUAGGUUUUUCGUUGUGGGAAAGAGUCAGCAUCCUCGGGUUGUCCCCUUGACCCAAACCCACUCGACCCUCAGGCACUGACCAUGUUAUUCCAGAGAGCGAUGGCCAUCUCAGCAUGCCCGCGUUCUGAGAAGUGGAAACAGUCCUCGGAGAAGAAGUGCAUCUAAGUUCAAGUUAUACUCAGAAAAGGUGGGUGCAGGGGAAAGGAGGAAAAGCAGAAACAGCAACCCUUUGGGAGCGCUCUUGGAGAGAGAUGGUCCAAAGAAGCCCAUGUAGAAAAGGAAAUACAUCGCCUGAGAUACGGCCUCUGCACACGCACCUCCCAGACACGCCCGCAACUUACCUCAUUCAGGGGGACAAGAGUGUUUUGGAAGAAAGGCUGCACAACCACGGCGAAGUCCUCACGCUGCAGUUCCUUUGGAUUUCCACACCAUUCCCCAUCUCCUCACUUCUCCCGCUUGCAACAAAACAGGACGGGGGAGACAAAUACGGACAGGACUAGUUCUUCCUUCACCUCCUAGAUACCUGCCAUGAACGAGGAAUUGAAUGUUUCUGGAUAAGAGACAGUCUUGAUGUGAAGAGCCGUGCUCUGGGAGUUACAGGACCAGGAGUCCCCUUCCAGCUCUGCUACCAACGAGCCGUGGAGCUCACCCAAGUUACUGGAUCCUGCUAGCCUUGAAUUUUUUCAUUUUUUAAACAAAGAGCCAAGACUAGAUGACUUUUGGGGUCCCUUCCGGGUCUGCAUCUGUCUGUAUUUAGCCUGCCCGGUUCACAUUUUAUACCUUUCUCUUCUCUUAGUUGUGCUCCAAAGAACAAAAUCAUUUCAGUCUGCAAUGUUGACUGAAAUACACAACAUAUACAACACUGUUUUUUUCCCCAAAAAUUAUAUCCUGUUGGUUUAGGCUUCUUAACUAGAAAGCAAGCUCUUUAUAGGCAGGCAGUUCACUUUUUGAUUCUUUUGUAUCUUUUAGUAACCAUCUUGGGGCUCAGUCCUUCCCAGCUGUUCAGUGAAUUCUUGCUUAUUGAUGGAUGGAAAGGAAGUUCGAUCUUGAAUAAAACUUUGAAACAAAA